GAUGAACGCUGGCGGCGUGCCUAAUACAUGCAAGUCGAGCGAACGGACGAGAAGCUUGCUUCUCUGAUGUUAGCGGCGGACGGGUGAGUAACACGUGGAUAACCUACCUAUAAGACUGGGAUAACUUCGGGAAACCGGAGCUAAUACCGGAUAAUAUUUUGAACCGCAUGGUUCAAAAGUGAAAGACGGUCUUGCUGUCACUUAUAGAUGGAUCCGCGCUGCAUUAGCUAGUUGGUAAGGUAACGGCUUACCAAGGCAACGAUGCAUAGCCGACCUGAGAGGGUGAUCGGCCACCCUGGAACUGAGACCCGGUCCAGACUCCUACGGGAGGCAGCAGUAGGGAAUCUUCCGCCAUGGGCGAAAGCCUGACGGAGCAACGCCGCGUGAGUGAUGAAGGUCUUCGGAUCGUAAAACUCUGUUAUUAGGGAAGAACAUAUGUGUAAGUAACUGUGCACAUCUUGACGGUACCUAAUCAGAAAGCCACGGCUAACUACGUG
This 497-nucleotide ribosomal RNA is filed under the name uncultured bacterium. Its description in RNAcentral is "partial 16S ribosomal RNA". It matches the Rfam family "Bacterial small subunit ribosomal RNA", at positions 28 to 507 of the family's 1533-position model. The record is from RNAcentral.